GUGCCCCUUGUUUUCUUUGUGCUCUGGACUUGCUCACUUGCACUGCUUGCUUCUUCCCAAUCGCCGCCGCCCCCCUGUGCUUCAGUUUUGAGUAUCCGAGGAGCCCAGGAGGAGGAACCCACAGACCCCCAGCUGAUGCGGCUGGACAACAUGCUGUUAGCGGAAGGCGUGGCGGGGCCUGAGAAGGGCGGAGGGUCGGCGGCAGCGGCGGCAGCGGCGGCGGCUUCUGGAGGGGCAGGUUCAGACAACUCAGUGGAGCAUUCAGAUUACAGAGCCAAACUCUCACAGAUCAGACAAAUCUACCAUACGGAGCUGGAGAAAUACGAGCAGGCCUGCAACGAGUUCACCACCCAUGUGAUGAAUCUCCUGCGAGAGCAAAGCCGGACCAGGCCCAUCUCCCCAAAGGAGAUUGAGCGGAUGGUCAGCAUCAUCCAUCGCAAGUUCAGCUCCAUCCAGAUGCAGCUCAAGCAGAGCACGUGCGAGGCGGUGAUGAUCCUGCGUUCCCGAUUUCUGGAUGCGCGGCGGAAGAGACGGAAUUUCAACAAGCAAGCGACAGAAAUCCUGAAUGAAUAUUUCUAUUCCCAUCUCAGCAACCCUUACCCCAGUGAGGAAGCCAAAGAGGAGUUAGCCAAGAAGUGUGGCAUCACAGUCUCCCAGGUAUCAAACUGGUUUGGAAAUAAGCGAAUCCGGUACAAGAAGAACAUAGGUAAAUUUCAAGAGGAAGCCAAUAUUUAUGCUGCCAAAACAGCUGUCACUGCUACCAAUGUGUCAGCCCAUGGAAGCCAAGCUAACUCACCCUCAACUCCCAACUCAGCUGGUUCUUCCAGUUCUUUUAACAUGUCAAACUCUGGAGAUUUGUUCAUGAGCGUGCAGUCACUCAAUGGGGAUUCUUACCAAGGGGCCCAGGUUGGAGCCAACGUGCAAUCACAGGUGGAUACCCUUCGCCAUGUUAUCAGCCAGACAGGAGGAUACAGUGAUGGACUCGCAGCCAGUCAGAUGUACAGUCCGCAGGGCAUCAGUGCUAAUGGAGGUUGGCAGGAUGCUACCACCCCUUCAUCAGUGACCUCCCCUACAGAAGGCCCUGGCAGUGUUCACUCUGAUACCUCCAACUGAUCUCCCAGCAAUCGCAUCCCGGCUGACCCUGUGCCCCAGUUGGGGCAGGGGCAGGAGGGAGGGUUUCUCUCCCAACGCUGAAGCGGUCAGACUGGAGGUCGAAGCAAUCAGCAAACACAAUAAGAGUCUCCUUCUCUUCUCUUCUUUGGGAUGCUAUUUCAGCCAAUCUGGACACUUCUUUAUACUCUCUUCCCUUUUUUUUCUGGGUAGAAGCCACCCUUCCCUGCCUCCAGCUGUCAGCCUGGUUUUCGUCAUCUUCCCUGCCCCUGUGCCUCUGUCCUAGACUCCCGGGGUCCCUGCCCUCUCUCAUAUCACUGAAGGAUAUUUUCAACAAUUAGAGGAAUUUAAAGAGGAAAAAAACUACAAAGAAAAUAAUAAAAGUGUUUGUACGUUUUCAUGCUGGUGGUUUGAGGAGCCAAAUUUAC
RNAcentral lists this small RNA (1538 nucleotides) under Pongo abelii (Sumatran orangutan). RNAcentral describes it as "processed transcript". The record is from RNAcentral. Lineage: Eukaryota; Metazoa; Chordata; Mammalia; Primates; Hominidae.